Molecule: RNase P RNA, 470 nt
Filed under: Acidobacteriota bacterium
Lineage: Bacteria; Pseudomonadati; Acidobacteriota
Description: RNase P RNA component class A
Rfam family: Bacterial RNase P class A
About the family: Ribonuclease P (RNase P) is a ubiquitous endoribonuclease, found in archaea, bacteria and eukarya as well as chloroplasts and mitochondria.
Source: RNAcentral
GCAGGCGGCUGGAUGAUCGCUGCCGCUCGGGCGCAAGCGUUGAGCGGGGGAGGAAAGUCCGGACUCCGCAGGGCAGUGUGCCGGAUAACGUCCGGGAUUUGUGCUUCAAGGUACAAAGACGGCCAGUGCAACAGAGAAUAUACCGCCUCCGACGGACGGCCGCGCAAGCGUUCCGUGAAAGCCGCCGAAGGUAAGGGUGAAAAGGUGCGGUAAGAGCGCACCGGGCAGGCAGUAAUGCCGGCCGCAUGGUAAACCCCACACGGAGCAAGACCAAAUAGGCAGGGAUCGCGCCCGCACUCUCCAGCGGGCACGAGCGUAUCGGCCCGAUGCGCCCAGGCGGAGAGUUCAGGUUGAGCGCUUGCGUUCAACCAGCCGGAACUUGCGGGUAGGUUGCUGGAGCGGCGUGGUAACGCGUCGCCUAGAGGAAUGAUCGUCUAAAACAGAAUCCGGCUUACGGGCCGUCUGCAUGG